This 253-nucleotide ribosomal RNA is filed under the name uncultured bacterium. RNAcentral describes it as "partial 16S ribosomal RNA". It matches the Rfam family "Bacterial small subunit ribosomal RNA", at positions 524 to 776 of the family's 1533-position model. The record is from RNAcentral.
UACAGAGGUCUCGAGCGUUGUUCGGAUUCAUUGGGCGUAAAGGGUGCGUAGGCGGCGCGGUAAGUCGGGUGUGAAAUCUCGAGGCUUAACUUCGAAACUGCAUUCGAUACUGCCGUGCUAGAGGACUGGAGAGGAGACUGGAAUUAACGGUGUAGCGGUGAAAUGCGUAGAUAUCGUAAGGAAGACCAGUGGCGAAGGCGGGUCUCUGGACAGUUCCUGACGCUGAGGCACGAAGGCCAGGGGAGCAAACGGG